UGACGAGGUACUUAGCCCAAAAGUUGGUACAUCACAAAAAAAAUUGGUACGUGACCAGAAACGGUUACAUCAGUUCUAGUUCCGAUCACAUCCAACCUGAACCACGUGAGCAGCCUCAAACAGUUGUGACCUCACCGAUUGCUACAUCAUCACAAUCUCAAACAGAACCAGAAGCCAUGCCAGAGGGUUCCAUGCAACCUCGAAAGACUCGUGGUCAGACACGUUUGGAAGAUUUGUGGAAUUUCCCCAAAGAUUACCGAGUCAUUGUCGAAUUGAAUGAAGAUGGGAAACCAAUUGGUGAUGCAGCAAGCACUUUCACUCACUUUAUCGGAACCAUGGUGAGGAUGUCGUGUAUGACACCCAUCAACUAGAUAUCUUGGUACAAUAUGCCAGAUGCACACAAGGAAGCAAUGAGAAAAGUUGUUGAGUCUAAAUUUGUUUUUCUGCCAUCCUGUGCUGAAAAGACUAAAAAGCUAAUAAACUAUGAGAUGUCUACUAAGUGGAGGCAGUGGAAGAAUGAAAUUAAGUCUAGAGGUUAUGAUGCCGACACUUCUGUAGAAGAAAUAAAGGCCUACGUUCCAGAUUCCCGUGUAGAUAAAGAUCAAUGGGGUCGUUUAGUUGAUUACUGAAACUCCGACAAAGGAAAGAGAAUUAGCAAGAUAAACAAGGAAAAUCGGGCAAAACUAGACGAGCCUCACUGCAUGGGAACAAAAUCGUUUCCAAGGUCCAUUGAGGAGGAGACCCAAGCAAAUAAUGGGGUGCGAAGAGGACCAGAAAAGAAGGGAAGAGUCCAUUGCCCGGGAAAGCAUCCCUCUUCUUCCAAAACAUCUAAUGCUCCAUCUCAGUCUAUGGAUCAUGACGAAUUAGUUGUAGGGCUAACAGAAAAAGUUAGAGUGCUAGAGUCUUUGCUUGUAGCCCUAUGGAGCAAGAUGCAAAGAAGGUCCAUUGAGGAGGAGACCCAAGCAAAUGAUGGGGUACAAAGAAGACCAGAAAAGAAGGGAAGAGUCCGUUGCCCGGGAAAGUAUACCUCUUCUUCCAAAACAUCUAAUGCUCCAUCUCAGUCAAUGGACCAUAGCGAAUUAGUUGUAUGGCUAACAGAAAAAGUUAGAUUGCUAGAGUCUGUGAUUGCACCCCUAUGGAGCAAGGUGCAAAGAUAUGAGGGGCAGUAAACCGCUUCAUCAAUCUUGAGGUGGCAAUUGUGGGUGGAAAAUUUUUGCUUUAUCCAUUGGUUCAUUGAUAUUUUCUCCAGUUUAUUUUCAUUUAAGGCACCAAAGAUUCUCAGAGGCAAUUCAACUCUUGCUACCGCAUUUGUUGCAUUAAUUUGGUGUGUUUUGUUCAUCGAGCACAAGGUCUCUUUGUACUGCUCCUAUCUCAUGCUUUAUGCUGUCAUACUGCUCUCUGCAGUUUUUUGGUGGCUUCAUUUCGCGGCCCUGUGUGGAAAAAAGGAGUUACUUGAUUGUGAAUGGAGUGUGAGGAUGGAUCUGACUUGUCCAAUCUCAACCUGGUGGUGGAUUCAAUUAAAUUCUUCCUGUGUAUGAAAAUUGUCCUAAUACCUCGAAUUCAGGGAAAAGAUUUUCUGACACAAUUGGAAAUGUUUCAUUUCCGCCAUGGCAUGCUAAUAUUGCAUCUUCUUGCUGCUUUCAUGUUCUUUCCAUCACUUGUGGCUUGUUUACAGAGAAUUGGGAUGGGUGAAAGCUUUCCAUGGUUCAUAGACUCUGCUCUUUGCAUUGGUGUCAUUCUACAUGGGCUUUGUGGCUCAAAGCCUGGAGUGAACUCCCUUUCAUUCCCAUUCCUUCAUUUGUUUGGUCCGGACAUUGGUCUGAGCUUUGUGUAUCUGCUCGCUGGGUAUUAUUGCUACAUUUCUGGCCUUGAGUUGGCUCCUUACAGAGCAUUUUAUGCCAUGGCUGCUGUUGGUGUGRUUCUUUUUGCUUUGAGGGUCAUUGAGAGGAAGGGCUUUUCCUCAGAUAGCUAUUUUGGCAACCGAAAGCACUCUCACAAACAUUGAGGAAGCUUUCCUUCAGAUAGCUAUGCACACUGAAGAACAGAAGUGGGUAAACAUUCUCUUGUACAUGUUUUUGUCAAGUUAUUUGCUGAUACAGUAACGGGAACAAUGGACAUGGCCUGGUUUCCAGCGGUUUUGCGGCUCAGAUUUGUCCUUGACACAAUUUAGAUUUUAGACUCUUGUUUAUUGAUGAGGGAAAUGGGAAGCAGAAAAGCUGUUUAAUUGUUUUAAUCAGUUUGGUGAAUCUCUAUAACAAUUGCCGAACAAAUUAAUCAAAUGUUGUAUAAAGUACUAAAUGCUGAGCAGCUGGACUUUUGAUUGAUUCCUUAAAGCUCAUUUGACCUUGAUUCAUCUGAACUUGCCCAUUGGCACUGGAUCAUGGAUGGUUURCUGGCUGGAACAAGGUGGAUCUAGCUAGUGCAACAAUGUAGCCUAAAACUAAAAGCUACGGAAGAAGUUCGUGGACCUGCCUGUUCCUCUGAUACUCUCUUGUUAUCAUCUUGGUAUACUCUCUUGUUAUACAUUAAUAUACGAUGCUUGAUGUGAGGAUUACCUGUGACUGAGAA
Molecule: non-coding RNA, 2568 nt
Organism: Nelumbo nucifera (sacred lotus)
Lineage: Eukaryota; Viridiplantae; Streptophyta; Magnoliopsida; Proteales; Nelumbonaceae
Source: RefSeq, a predicted model, not a curated record